This is a long non-coding RNA of Oryza brachyantha (malo sina), 1152 nucleotides long. RefSeq lists it as uncharacterized. The transcript has 4 exons. Lineage: Eukaryota; Viridiplantae; Streptophyta; Magnoliopsida; Poales; Poaceae. The record is from RefSeq and is a predicted model, not a curated record.
UUGCAGGUGCCUGAUACCAGAGUACAUCUGAUAAUUGAAGUCUGGUAAGGGGUUUGCUGACUUCACUUCCCUUGUGGGCUGAAGCUAGCGCCUGGAAACAUCUUUCCGAAGAUGGCACAUAUUCUGAUAAUUGGAACAUCAGGCAGAUUCUUACAUAGGAUGAUGGGCCAUGAUGCAUCCAUGUGAUGCGGCGGCAGAAAAAAACAAAAGGUGAUAGGGAAAUGGAACCAAAGGAGGCUUGUGAGUAAAAGAAGCUCACCAUAAUGAUGGGGCUCCUGAUCCUUCUCUUGUCCGAUGCAGGCAGCAGCAGUUGGUGGUUAUCCCCAUCUGUGACUCGGAUUUCCUUGGUGCAAAGGCAAAGCGUGCAUGAGAGGUUUUCAAAGGGCAGAUGAUGACUGGACUGGAGGUUUCUUUCUCGUCUUAUCUCUGAAACGCGGAUUGCUGGGAGCCUCAAAUCCGUUCUCCUGCUAUCCUGGGCACAGUGGAAGCACUAAGGCACGGGAACAGCAACAGCUUAACCAACAGCACAGCCUAGCUGCUCGUUAACUGACUGGGUGUCUGUUCCUCUUUAGCUGAUGGGUUCGCUUCUAGUCCGGCUCGCUCUUAGCAGCAGCCAGUUGCCGGCCUGGCGUCCAUGGUGAUUACUGCUGUGGGCUUCUUUCUUAUAAUCAAGUGAACUUGGUUGUAAGAAGCAGGUAAUUCAAGUUGGAAAUAACCGAACUAUAACAUCUCACAUUUAACUGCAAUAUAAGUAUAUAACAUGAUUGCAUGAGUAUAAAUAUAACAAUUUCAAGUCCAUUCCACACAACUACACACAGCAUGCAUGACAAAUUGAUUAAUGACAAUAGGUUCAAGUAUUCAGUGCUGGAUAGUUAUAAUUUUGAGAAAACUACCAAUCUUAAUGAGUUAUUGACUGUGCAAUGGGCCAGGGAGAUAGCUUGGGUUCUAGAGAUUCUAUGAAAGCGCUAAUUUUUUACCGGAUUAUUAAAUGGUAAUUACCAUAUAACAAUAUGGUUUACCGAUGAAGCACUCGGUAAACAACCAAACCAUUUCUGUAUUUUAUACUAUUUCUGUCUACCGUUUCCCUUCGUUAGCGUUUUCUGAUUGGCUCGGUCGAUAAAUGUCGAAAACUGGAGCCGGUCCAUCAGUAAU